This 171-nucleotide ribosomal RNA is filed under the name uncultured bacterium. RNAcentral describes it as "partial 16S ribosomal RNA". The record is from RNAcentral.
CACGCCCUAAACGAUGUCAACUGGUUGUUGGGAAUUUACUUUCUCAGUAACGAAGCUAACGCGUGAAGUUGACCGCCUGGGGAGUNACGCGAAAAACCUUACCCACCUUUGACAUGUAUGGAAGAUCGCAGAGACGCGAUUGUGCUCGAAAGAGAACCGUAACACAGGUGC